This 253-nucleotide ribosomal RNA is filed under the name Lachnospira eligens. Its description in RNAcentral is "partial 16S ribosomal RNA". It matches the Rfam family "Bacterial small subunit ribosomal RNA", at positions 524 to 776 of the family's 1533-position model. Lineage: Bacteria; Bacillati; Bacillota; Clostridia; Lachnospirales; Lachnospiraceae. The record is from RNAcentral.
UACGUAUGGAGCAAGCGUUAUCCGGAUUUACUGGGUGUAAAGGGAGUGUAGGUGGCCAUCCAAGUCAGAAGUGAAAAUCCGGGGCUCAACCCCGGAACUGCUUUUGAAACUGUGAGGCUGGAGUGCAGGAGGGGUGAGUGGAAUUCCUAGUGUAGCGGUGAAAUGCGUAGAUAUUAGGAGGAACACCAGUGGCGAAGGCGGCUCACUGGACUGUAACUGACACUGAGGCUCGAAAGCGUGGGGAGCAAACAGG